This 435-nucleotide ribosomal RNA is filed under the name uncultured Blautia sp. RNAcentral's name for it is "partial 16S ribosomal RNA". It matches the Rfam family "Bacterial small subunit ribosomal RNA", at positions 341 to 792 of the family's 1533-position model. Lineage: Bacteria; Bacillati; Bacillota; Clostridia; Lachnospirales; Lachnospiraceae. The record is from RNAcentral.
ACGGAAGGCAGCAGUGGGGAAUAUUGCACAAUGGGGGGAAACCCUGAUGCAGCGACGCCGCGUGAAGGAAGAAGUAUCUCGGUAUGUAAACUUCUAUCUGCAGGGAAGAUAAUGACGGUACCUGACUAAGGAGCCCCGGCUAACUACGUGCCAGCAGCCGCGGUAAUACGUAGGGGGCAAGCGUUAUCCGGAUUUACUGGGUGUAAAGGGAGCGUAGACGGAUCGGCAAGUCUGAUGUGAAAGGCUGGGGCUCAACCCCGGGACUGCAUUGGAAACUGUCGGUCUUGAGUGCCGGAGGGGUAAGCGGAAUUCCUAGUGUAGCGGUGAAAUGCGUAGAUAUUAGGAGGAACACCAGUGGCGAAGGCGGCUUACUGGACGGUAACUGACGUUGAGGCUCGAAAGCGUGGGGAGCAAACAGGAUUAGAUACCCUGGUA